AUGGCUCAGGAUGAACGCUAGCUACAGGCUUAACACAUGCAAGUCGGGGGGCAGCAUGUCGGUUGCUUGCAACCGACGAUGGCGACCGGCGCACGGGUGAGUAACGCGUAUCCAACCUACCCUUGUCCAUCGGAUAACCCGUCGAAAGGCGGCCUAACACGAUAUGCGGUUCACAGCAGGCAUCUAACGUGAACGAAAUGUGAAGGAGAAGGAUGGGGAUGCGUCUGAUUAGCUUGUUGGCGGGGUAACGGCCCACCAAGGCGACGAUCAGUAGGGGUUCUGAGAGGAAGGUCCCCCACAUUGGAACUGAGACACGGUCCAAACUCCUACGGGAGGCAGCAGUGAGGAAUAUUGGUCAAUGGACGAGAGUCUGAACCAGCCAAGUAGCGUGCAGGAAGACGGCCCUAUGGGUUGUAAACUGCUUUUAUAGGGGGAUAAAGUGUGCCACGUGUGGCAUAUUGCAGGUACCCUAUGAAUAAGGACCGGCUAAUUCCGUGCCAGCAGCCGCGGUAAUACGGAAGGUCCGGGCGUUAUCCGGAUUUAUUGGGUUUAAAGGGAGCGUAGGCCGUCUUAUAAGCGUGUUGUGAAAUGUCGGGGCUCAACCUGGGCAUUGCAGCGCGAACCGUGAGACUUGAGUGCGCAGGAAGUAGGCGGAAUUCGUCGUGUAGCGGUGAAAUGCUUAGAUAUGACGAAGAACUCCGAUUGCGAAGGCAGCCUGCUGUAGCGCAACUGACGCUGAAGCUCGAAAGCGUGGGUAUCGAACAGGAUUAGAUACCCUGGUAGUCCACGCGGUAAACGAUGGAUGCUCGCUGUUUGCGUCUGACGUAAGCGGCCAAGCGAAAGCGUUAAGCAUCCCACCUGGGGGGUACGCCGGCAACGGUGCAACUCAAAGG
This 893-nucleotide ribosomal RNA is filed under the name uncultured Bacteroidota bacterium. Its description in RNAcentral is "bacterial SSU rRNA". It matches the Rfam family "Bacterial small subunit ribosomal RNA", at positions 19 to 907 of the family's 1533-position model. The record is from RNAcentral. Lineage: Bacteria; Pseudomonadati; Bacteroidota.